AUGCGAUACUUGGUGUGAAUUGCAGAAUCUCGUGAACCAUUGAGUCUUUGAACGCAAGUUGUGCCCGAGGCCAUCUGGCCGAGGGCACGCCUGCUUGGGAGUCAUGGCAUCGCCGCCUUUGCUCCAUGCUGCGAUAUGCUGCUGGUGCUGAGCGCGUAAAUUGGCCCCGUGUGCCCUCGGGCACAGUCGGUCGAAGAGCGGGUAGUCGGCAGUCGUCGGGCACGAUGGGUGUUGGUCGCUACUAAUGAGCGGGAACAGAACAUCGUCCCCGUCGUCUCGGGAUGAGUCCUCAAGAGACCCUGUGUGAUUGCCGCGUCGGGCACGAUGAGUGCCGUGCUGAUACAUCAACUUGUGGCCCCAAGUCAGGCGAGACCACCCGCUGAGUUUAAGCAUAUCAAUAAG
This 402-nucleotide ribosomal RNA is filed under the name Kaempferia roscoeana. RNAcentral's name for it is "eukaryotic LSU rRNA". The stretch from base 1 to 104 matches the Rfam family "5.8S ribosomal RNA", at positions 53 to 154 of the family's 154-position model. The record is from RNAcentral. Lineage: Eukaryota; Viridiplantae; Streptophyta; Magnoliopsida; Zingiberales; Zingiberaceae.